Molecule: long non-coding RNA, 2796 nt
Filed under: Homo sapiens (human)
Lineage: Eukaryota; Metazoa; Chordata; Mammalia; Primates; Hominidae
Description: HSALNT0351312
Source: RNAcentral
AUAAGAAGCAUGGCACCAGCAACUGCUUGUGGUGAGGCCUCAGGAAGCUUACAAUCAUAGAGGAAGGCAAGAGGAGCUGGCUUGUCACAUGGCCACUCUUCUGUAGGGCUGCUGCAGUUUGCUGGGGGAUCACUCCAGGCCCUAGUUGCCUAGGUUUUCCCCUUACCUGGAUGUAUCACCAGUGAAGUCUGCAAAACAGCAAAGAUGGCAGCCUGCCCCUUCCUCUAGGAGCUCUGUCCCAGGAGUGGAAUGUGGAGGUUUGAGAAGCAUCUACAGUUUGAAGCACAAUAUCAGCAAUAUUAUCAGCAGAAAAACAUCAACAGGAUUGUGAGAUGAAGUAUUUGUCUGCAAUCUGUAAUGCCUCAAGCCUUGCUACUCUUUCAAGCGUAGCCCUUGGACUAGCAGCACUGAUGUUACCAGAAGUUUUGAGAAAUUCAGCAUCCCCAGUUCUACCUCAGACCUACCAUAUUAGAAUUUGCAUCUUUAAUAAGAUUCCCAGGAAACAUAAUCACUGGUGCACCAUACGUCCCUCCUUGAGUGACCUUGAUGACACAGUGCAGAAACAUCUGUCAUUUGUAGCCGGAUCUGUUUGCUAUUGUAAUUUUACAAACUGCCAAUAAGCCUCGAGGGCCUGGAACCAGAGCUGUCUUGAGAUGAAUGUGACCUAUGAGAAGCAGGCUUUUCCAGUGUUGGUACUUCCUAAAGGAGAUCCAAGCAUGUGACAGGAGAGACAGUUGUUCUAGGGAAGUCAGAUCCAAAUUCGUGUCACCUCCUGACCUGGAAAGUAAUCUGGGCCUCACUGAAGUCAAGGUUUUGUCUGGUAGUGCUCGGUAUACUUCCUGCUGCACAUUUUGGUCAAUCUCUCAGAAACAGGUAAAGUUCCAUCUCUUGGCGUGACCGCGUGACAGUCCAUAGGUCUUAUACCUCUCAGAGGGCUGCAUACAUGGUAGAAAUAGUUGUUCUCUGAAUGUUAGGUUCCAAAAGUGAGACUGUGACCGAUGGACUUUUCUCACAAAGCCCACCUGUAAACUAGGAACACUCGGAAAUCCUCGGUCCAUAUACAAACAGGCAGGGAUUCUUGUUGCAUGUGUGCACCCUGUGGUAAUUCUCAAAGAGAAGGAGAGAGCUUGGGGAAAUCGCGAGACUGUUGCUCAUGUAAUCUAGAACAAAAAAAUCCCACUCUUUGGUUUUAGUGAUGGAGAAAAUUUAUCUAACAAAACGGUUAAAAAACAGCUACCUGGGUCACAGCGGGGUUACCCAGUUGUAUCUCAAAGAGACAACCAGGGCAACACUUGUUCACAUGCAAAGAAGGAUACUAAGUGUUCCAAAUGCCUGGCAGGCAAACGGGUCAAAGGUGAACCUAUGGCUUCGUCCUAGCCAAGCGGCGCCACAUCUGGCUUUCAGGAGAGGCAUGUAGCAGGGAAGGGGAGCAAAUUCCUCCUAAAUCUGGACUGUGACUUACUUAGUUUUGUGGCCACUUCCCUGCUCUUUUGCCUUGUGGAGGGAUGACUGAACGCAGAUUUCCAACCCACAGGAGCAGAGCCACUUAGGAAGCAGGCAAGAGGUGUUUAAAAACUCCCGGGGGCAUUGAAAUCCAAGAAAACAGAGCCAUUAUUUCAUUUGCAGAAGUAAAUUAAGCUGAUUGACUCUGACCAUCACCAAAUCAAGUCAGAAAGUUCCUGGCACAUCAAAGAUCUCUUCUUCAUUUUGCACAGCUUGGCAAGGGCAGUUUUCCAGCCUCUUAUAUCCCUGGUGAAUGUCAGGCCUGCAUUUCCAUCAACUUUUAUUUCCAAAUAUACGUUUCAGCAAUUUUUCAGGAGCUGGGGUGGGGGGGGUUUGAGAAAGGAGCGGGCCAGGCUAUGUUACAGUUCAGGAAGGGUAUAAAAGGACAUUAAUCAUUCCUGUGGAAACCUUCCCGUCAGCAAGUCAAACUGCUGAUAUUAAUGAGCAUGUUUCAUAUUUCAUCGAAUCUCUCCUGGUUUCAGCUGCUCCUUAUGACUCAGCUGGCAAAACAGAAAGCAGUUGCCUAAGUAUUGUAUGAAAGUCCUACAGAUAGGUAGUAAAGGGGCAUUUGAGAGCUGAGCCACAUCCCCCCAGGCUCUCAGCACUGCACCAGUGCCAACUCCAAGCCCAUCUAUUAUCCAUUUAACUACUGCUGAGGACAGAGGAUGAGGUGCACAGGGGGACUCAUAGCCUCUUGAAGCAUAAGGAAGGUGGCAGAGGCUUUAGGUGUCACUCUGGGCCACACAAGGGACCCAAAUGCAGAGCAUGAGGCUACUGUCAGAAACAGAGAUUUAUUCCAACUUUAGUGAGACGCAAGCCUUUGUAGAAAAGAGGAAGAUAAGAUUUCCCCAACUGAACUGGAGUACUGAUUAGCAUGGGUAUUUAAGGUUAGACUUGGAGGGUGGGCAGAACCCAGUAAUCGUUGUUUCCUCAGCCCUUCGAUUGAAAAGACAUUGCUUUCUACAAACAACUCAGAGUCAGUUGAUUACUGUAGGAUGGGGGGCGUCUAUGGCUUGCCAGGGCCUGGGAAGCUCUUGCUCCCUGAACAGACCCCGUUAGGGACUUGGGAAACCUGGCUGGCCAUUAGUGGGGUGAGGAAUAAACAAAGCUGAGAGAGGUGGCAUAGUCUGAGGAUAUUUUCAGCAAGGUGGAGAGGCCUGAUAAGCCUGUGCCUAGAGGGAAGAACAGCUCCUUGGCUGGCAUCUCUCCCUGCACAGUGCUACUGAAGGGCUGGCCACUGACUUCGCUAACAGGGAGGGCUCCUCCUAGGGUGGGGAGGUCUGAGCCAGUGUC